Molecule: transfer RNA, 72 nt
Filed under: Neofusicoccum parvum UCRNP2
Lineage: Eukaryota; Fungi; Ascomycota; Dothideomycetes; Botryosphaeriales; Botryosphaeriaceae
Description: tRNA-Asp (GTC) (tRNA-Asp-GTC-1 1 to 3)
Rfam family: tRNA
About the family: Transfer RNA (tRNA) molecules are approximately 80 nucleotides in length. Their secondary structure includes four short double-helical elements and three loops (D, anti-codon, and T loops).
Source: RNAcentral
UCUUCGAUGGUCUAGUGGUCAUGAUUUCCGCUUGUCACGCGGGAGACCGGGGUUCGAUUCCCCGUCGGAGAG